CCUACGGGUGGCAGCAGUGGGGAAUAUUGGGCAAUGGGCGCAAGCCUGAUCCAGCAACGCCGCGUGAAGGAAGAAGGCUUUCGGGUUGUAAACCUCUUUUCUCAGGGACGAAGAAAGUGACGGUACCUGAGGAAUAAGCGACGGCAAACAACGUGCCAGCAGCCGCGGUAAUACGGAGGUGGCAAGCGUUAUGCGGAUUUAUGGGGUGUAAAGGGUGCGUAGGCGGGCUUUUACGUCAGCGGUAAAAAUUCGGGGCUAGACCCCGUCCGGCCGUUGAAACUGGGGGCCUUGAGUGUGCGAGAAGAAAGCGGAAUUCGUGGUGUAGCGGUGAAAUGCAUAGAUAUCACGCAGAACCCCGAUUGCGAAGGCAGCCUUCCGGCGCCCUACUGACGCUGAGGCACGAAAGUGCGGGGAUCGAACAGGAUUAGAUACCCUUGUAGUC
Molecule: ribosomal RNA, 442 nt
Filed under: uncultured bacterium
Lineage: Bacteria
Description: partial 16S ribosomal RNA
Rfam family: Bacterial small subunit ribosomal RNA
Source: RNAcentral